AUGGGGUGACUGCGUACCUUUUGUAUAAUGGGUCAGCGACUUAUAUUCUGUAGCAAGGUUAACCGUAUAGGGGAGCCGUAGGGAAACCGAGUCUUAACUGGGCGAAUGAGUUGCAGGGUAUAGACCCGAAACCCGGUGAUCUAUCCAUGGGCAGGUUGAAGGUUGGGUAACACUAACUGGAGGACCGAACCGACUAAUGUUGAAAAAUUAGCGGAUGACUUGUGGAUGGGGGUGAAAGGCCAAUCAAACCGGGAGAUAGCUGGUUCUCCCCGAAAGCUAUUUAGGUAGCGCCUCGUGAACUCAUCUUCGGGGGUAGAGCACUGUUUCGACUAGGGGGUCAUCCCGACUUACCAACUCGAUGCAAACUGCGAAUACCGAAGAAUGUUAUCACGGGAGACACACGGCGGGUGCUAACGUCCGUCGUGAAGAGGGAAACAACCCAGACCGCCAGCUAAGGUCCCAAAGUCAUGGUUAAGUGGGAAACGAAGUGGGAAGGCUCAGACAGCCAGGAUGUUGGCUUAGAAGCAGCCAUCAUUUAAAGAAAGCGUAAUAGCUCACUGGUCGAGUCGGCCCGCGCGGAAGAUGUAACGGGGCUAAACCAUGCACCGAAGCUGCGGCAGCGACACAAAGUGUUGUUGGGUAGGGGAGCGUUCUGUAAGCCUGCGAAGGUGUACUGUGAGGUAUGCUGGAGGUAUCAGAAGUGCGAAUGCUGACAUAAGUAACGAUAAUGCGGGUGAAAAACCCGCACGCCGGAAGACCAAGGGUUCCUGUCCAACGUUAAUCGGGGCAGGGUGAGUCGACCCCUAAGGCGAGGCUGAAAAGCGUAGUCGAUGGGAAACGGGUUAAUAUUCCCGUACUGGUGGUAACUGCGAUGGGGGAACGGAGAAGGCUAGGUUGUCCGGGCGACGGUCGUCCCGGUUCAAGCAGGUAGGCAGAGUGAUUAGGCAAAUCCGGUCACUUAAUGCUGAGAUGUGAUGACGAACCACCAAGGUGGUGAAGCAAUUGAUGCCCCGCUUCCAGGAAAAGCCUCUAAGCUUCAGGUUACCAACAAUCGUACCCCAAACCGACACAGGUGGUCAGGUAGAGAAUACUCAGGCGCUUGAGAGAACUCGGGUGAAGGAACUAGGCAAAAUGGUGCCGUAACUUCGGGAGAAGGCACGCUGGCGGUAGGUAAAGUCCCUCGCGGACGGCGCUGAAGCCAGUCGAAGAUACCAGCUGGCUGCAACUGUUUAUUAAAAACACAGCACUGUGCAAACACGAAAGUGGACGUAUACGGUGUGACGCCUGCCCGGUGCUGGAAGGUUAAUUGAUGGGGUCAGCCGCAAGGCGAAGCUCCUGAUCGAAGCCCCAGUAAACGGCGGCCGUAACUAUAACGGUCCUAAGGUAGCGAAAUUCCUUGUCGGGUAAGUUCCGACCUGCACGAAUGGCGUAAUGAUGGCCAGGCUGUCUCCACCCGAGACUCAGUGAAAUUGAACUCGCUGUGAAGAUGCAGUGUACCCGCGGCAAGACGGAAAGACCCCGUGAACCUUUACUAUAGCUUGACACUGAACAUUGAGCCUUGAUGUGUAGGAUAGGUGGGAGGCUUUGAAGUGUGGACGCCAGUCUGCAUGGAGCCAACCUUGAAAUACCACCCUUUAACGUUUGAUGUUCUAACCUAGGCCCAUAAACUGGGUCGGGGACCGUGUCUGGUGGGUAGUUUGACUGGGGCGGUCUCCUCCUAAAGAGUAACGGAGGAGCACGAAGGUUGGCUAAGCAUGGUCGGACAUCAUGCGGUUAGUGCAAAGGCAUAAGCCAGCUUGACUGCGAGAGUGACGGCUCGAGCAGGUACGAAAGUAGGUCUUAGUGAUCCGGUGGUUCUGAAUGGAAGGGCCAUCGCUCAACGGAUAAAAGGUACUCCGGGGAUAACAGGCUGAUACCGCCCAAGAGUUCAUAUCGACGGCGGUGUUUGGCACCUCGAUGUCGGCUCAUCACAUCCUGGGGCUGAAGUAGGUCCCAAGGGUAUGGCUGUUCGCCAUUUAAAGUGGUACGCGAGCUGGGUUUAGAACGUCGUGAGACAGUUCGGUCCCUAUCUGCCGUGGGCGUUGGAAGAUUGAGAGGGGUUGCUCCUAGUACGAGAGGACCGGAGUGAACGCACCACUGGUGUUCGGGUUGUCAUGCCAAUGGCAUUGCCCGGUAGCUAAGUGCGGAAGAGAUAACCGCUGAAAGCAUCUAAGCGGGAAACUUGCCUCGAGAUGAGUCUUCCCUGUCGCUUUAAGUGACCUAAAGGAACGUUUAAGACUAAGACGUUGAUAGGCUGGGUGUGUAAGCGUAGCGAUACGUUGAGCUAACCAGUACUAAUGAACCGUGAGGCUUAACCUG
Molecule: ribosomal RNA, 2358 nt
Filed under: Proteus mirabilis
Lineage: Bacteria; Pseudomonadati; Pseudomonadota; Gammaproteobacteria; Enterobacterales; Morganellaceae
Description: partial 23S ribosomal RNA
Rfam family: Bacterial large subunit ribosomal RNA
Source: RNAcentral